Pogoniulus pusillus (Red-fronted tinkerbird) is the source of this 1547-nucleotide long non-coding RNA. RefSeq lists it as uncharacterized. The record is from RefSeq and is a predicted model, not a curated record. The transcript has 6 exons. NCBI's taxonomy places the organism in Eukaryota, Metazoa, Chordata, Aves, Piciformes, Lybiidae.
CUCACUGCCUUAUUGCAUCCUGAGCUGCCUGGAAACUACCUACCUUGAGUUUACCAGGAACAGGCUCUAAAUGCCUCCAUGUGAUUGGCCUGCAUAGCCAGCGUGACCUUGUGCUGAGACUGCACAUCGCAAGACAUCCUGCCUACACCUGAAACUCUCCUGCCGAGAUGGGAAGUCCUGGAGCUACACAGAUCAUCCAGAGAAGCCAGGAUAAGUUCAGAGCUCAUCUGCCUCCUUUCCACAACACUGUGGGAAGAAUCAGAAGCCUCAGCAGCUGACAAUACACCAACAGAACCCCAUGAAGCUGUAGCUGGCCCUGCGAGUUGGGAGACUAAUUUUGGUGUGAUUUGCUUUCCUCCAGCCAACACAGUGAGCCAGUGAAGAGGACUGGUUACUACUCCAAGCAGAAAUGACAGAGGGCUGGCCAUGAACAGUUUCUGUGCAAACACCACAGAAGAUGCCUUUUGGAAGCAAGGAUUGAGAAAAAAGCCUCUCCAUUAGAUGCUUUUCAAUUACUGUGCCCUUCAACUCAAUAAGGAAAGAUCAUUAUGAAUCGAUGUUUUAAUGGCAGCAGUACAGAGAGGCAGAAGUUUUUGAUUCUCUUUGAGAAGCAUUCUACUGCAUCUUAGGGGAAGAGCAGAGUUGGAUUAUCUGGGAAGUCAUGACCUUUGCCUGCAAGAGCUUCCAGAUGAAUUUUGAAAUGAUGCAGUAGUAGCAGUAUCUAAAAGUAGAACACAAGGACAAACUGAAAGUGUAGGUAAGAGGAAUAGUGAUUUAUUAAUCCAUUUCAGUCUACUGCAAUACUGCACCCUUCAACUCUAAACCAGCAGGUUAGGGAUUUCUGCAACCACUAUAUGCUGAUGGAUAGGUUAAAACACAGAAAAAGUGUCAACCAUGCAAUUAAAAUAUUGAAAUAAAAAGAUUUAAUGAAUCUCAUUUGUAAAAAUUGCAUUAAUGCAUACACUUACCAGACAAAUGGUCCCCACAAGAAUCAUGAAAAAGCACCAGAUAACUUUUAUCCUUGUUAGAUUUAGAGUGCAAUGUAAGUACUCUGUUAAAGGUGUUAAGUGGUUUGUUUAACUAGAGAAGCUAUUGUGGGAAUUACAUAAUGCAGACUCACAGGGAGUGUUUCUUUGAUAAGAGCACUGGGUAGCAGGGCUCAGAUUGUUUGAUUAUAUGUGUGAUUUGUAUGUGUGUUUUGAUGAAUGUAUAUCAUGUCCCUCCCACUUAUUAAUGUUUCUGUGUAUGCACUAUUUGUCGAUGCUUCUGAGGUUUUUUUUGUAGUACAUACUUUGCAGGAGACCUAAAAUCUGUGUGAUAAAUUAAAGAGCAUAUGUCUUUUCAAGUGCCUGAUCCUUGUCACUGGGACUGAUGAAUGUUGUAAUUCACCUGAUUUUGUGAAAUUGUGCUUAAUUAAACAGAAGAGAGCAAAAUCAGGGAAGAAAUAACAAACCCAACUUUUUAACCAAAAUCAUGUUGGAUGUUCUCUGUUAUAUAGUCAAGAGAAAGACCUUGAGGUUUUCUGGCAUAAUAAAUACACGCAUUUG